Small nucleolar RNA from Rhododendron vialii, 108 nucleotides. RefSeq annotates it as small nucleolar RNA snoR100. The transcript has a single exon. The record is from RefSeq and is a predicted model, not a curated record. Lineage: Eukaryota; Viridiplantae; Streptophyta; Magnoliopsida; Ericales; Ericaceae.
GAAUGAAGGAAGCAAGAUAAUGAGGACAAAAAUUGUGUCGCGUCUAUAGGUAUGCCCUUUUUGAUGCCUUUUGGUUAUGAUUUGGGGGCAUAGUUCCGCCGCAGAAUG